UCCACAUGAUAAAUAGGUAUAUAUUAAGUUCAAAGAACUCUGCAGCAUAUGUUUUCAAUAGCAAUAGCUUACACACGAGAUAUAAUAGCAGAUCAUACACAUCCACAAUCUAUAUAGCAGAAAUAGUAGUAGUAACAUCUUCGCCACAAGUAGAUAUUUUAUAUCAAGGAACAGGAGCACACACCACUCUCAAAACUCAAAAGAUAUUAACAGCAUUCCUGAUUCCUCCCAAGCAAUACUUCAGCAAAUGCUAUGUAGGCAUAUAGCUGCUAUAAAUUGCAACACUAGCAGGUAUAUUCAGUGUGGGGUGAUCCUCCAUCUCUGGUUAUCUCCUUUGUUCCACUUCCAGAGCACAAUAGUGGUACCAUUAUGGACACCACCAGAUUUCUUAUCACCAUGGAAAGCAUCUACAUUCAGGUGAAUGUUGUUAACCAUCCUCACAGUUCUGUAACCAUCACCUAAAUCCUUGCUCUCAGUCCACAGAAUAGACUCAUCAAGAACAUCUGGAUUAUAAGGUAUCAGCUGCACAGGGUGUGUGGCUCCAAUGGAAUGCUUCAUGGCCUCACCAGUGGCUUUGUUAACCAAAGCAAAGCAAGGACAGCCGUCCUCGUCCUUUACUCUUGUGCUAUACUUCUCAUCCUUGUACCAGUUCUACAAAACAGCCAACACCAAAUCAACUACAAAUACAAGAAAGAAACAAUAAACUCGGGGAAAAAAAAAAAGAAUACAACAGGCAGAUCAAAUCAAUUAGUCAGAAAUGAUUAGGAAAAAAAAAGAUCAUAUAACUACAAAAUCUUUGAAUUACAGAAGCUGGGAUCUGAUCAGAUAAUCAUGAGAAAACAACAUAAAGGGGGAAAAAAUCCAAUAGUAUAAACCAACAUAAGUUGCUAAAGCCCAAAAGGGAAAAUAAAAUCAACAACACAAGCUAACAAAAAGAUAACAGAAAGGUCAAGCUGAGGUCACUAUUCAAAAUUUCCUACUUGGAACUCAUCAGAUGGAUCCGAUGGUGCUAGAAUCACUUUGCCGUCCCUG
Molecule: unclassified non-coding RNA, 1032 nt
Filed under: Hevea brasiliensis (rubber tree)
Lineage: Eukaryota; Viridiplantae; Streptophyta; Magnoliopsida; Malpighiales; Euphorbiaceae
Source: RNAcentral